This 259-nucleotide ribosomal RNA is filed under the name uncultured bacterium. RNAcentral's name for it is "partial 16S ribosomal RNA". It matches the Rfam family "Bacterial small subunit ribosomal RNA", at positions 99 to 354 of the family's 1533-position model. The record is from RNAcentral.
CGCACGGGUGAGUAACACGUAUGGAACCUGCCCUAUGCAGGGGGAUAAGCGGAAGAAAUUCCGUCUAAUACCGCAUAACACCAUUUGGAGACAUCUCCAGGUGGUCAAAGGAGGCGACUCCGGCAUAGGAUGGCCAUGCGUCGCAUUAGCUAGUCGGCGGGGUAACGGCCCACCGAGGCGACGAUGCGUAGGGGUUCUGAGAGGAAGGUCCCCCACACUGGUACUGAGACACGGACCAGACUCCUACGGGAGGCAGCAG